UGGGGAAUAUUGCACAAUGGGCGAAAGCCUGAUGCAGCAACGCCGCGUGAGUGAUGAAGGCCUUCGGGUUGUAAAGCUCUGUCUUCUGGGACGAUAAUGACGGUACCAGAGGAGGAAGCCACGGCUAACUACGUGCCAGCAGCCGCGGUAAUACGUAGGUGGCAAGCGUUGUCCGGAUUUACUGGGCGUAAAGGAUGCGUAGGCGGAUACUUAAGUCAGAUGUGAAAAUCCCGGGCUUAACUUGGGAACUGCAUUUGAAACUGGGUAUCUAGAGUGCGGGAGAGGAAAGUGGAAUUCCUAGUGUAGCGGUGAAAUGCGUAGAGAUUAGGAAGAACACCAGUGGCGAAGGCGACUUUCUGGACCGUAACUGACGCUGAGGCAUGAAAGCGUGGGUAGCAAACA
This 402-nucleotide ribosomal RNA is filed under the name uncultured bacterium. RNAcentral's name for it is "bacterial SSU rRNA". It matches the Rfam family "Bacterial small subunit ribosomal RNA", at positions 355 to 774 of the family's 1533-position model. The record is from RNAcentral.